UCUUGGCAGAGGAGAUGGUGGGCCCUGCCACUGCCUCUACACAGCAAACUGUUGCUAGGUUUAUGUAAAUACCAUGGAAACCAGAGCUGUAACACAGAAAGACUCGCAAAGAAGCAACUUAACAUAAGGUCAACAAGCCCCCGACAAAAAGUGUAUAUAGUGCUCAAUCUUCAAAAUACAGCCAACGCUCUGUUUUCCUUCCUAACCCCUAGGCUAAAAAGGCUAAUGAGAUUCACAGACAACAUAUUAAAUGA
RNAcentral lists this long non-coding RNA (254 nucleotides) under Homo sapiens (human). RNAcentral describes it as "HSALNT0164665". Lineage: Eukaryota; Metazoa; Chordata; Mammalia; Primates; Hominidae. The record is from RNAcentral.